AUUGAACGCUGGCGGCAUGCCUUACACAUGCAAGUCGAACGGCGGCACGGGUGCUUGCCCCUGGUGGCGAGUGGCGAACGGGUGAGUAAUACAUCGGAACAUGUCCUGUAGUGGGGGAUAGCCCGGCGAAAGCCGGAUUAAUACCGCAUACGAUCCACGGAUGAAAGCGGGGGACCUUCGGGCCUCGCGCUAUAGGGUUGGCCGAUGGCUGAUUAGCUAGUUGGUGGGGUAAAGGCCUACCAAGGCGACGAUCAGUAGCUGGUCUGAGAGGACGACCAGCCACACUGGGACUGAGACACGGCCCAGACUCCUACGGGAGGCAGCAGUGGGGAAUUUUGGACAAUGGGCGAAAGCCUGAUCCAGCAAUGCCGCGUGUGUGAAGAAGGCCUUCGGGUUGUAAAGCACGUUUGUCCGGAAAGAAAUCCUUGGCUCUAAUACAGUCGGGGGAUGACGGUACCGGAAGAAUAAGCACCGGCUAACUACGUG
Molecule: ribosomal RNA, 486 nt
Filed under: uncultured bacterium
Lineage: Bacteria
Description: partial 16S ribosomal RNA
Rfam family: Bacterial small subunit ribosomal RNA
Source: RNAcentral